Molecule: long non-coding RNA, 11274 nt
Filed under: Zostera marina
Lineage: Eukaryota; Viridiplantae; Streptophyta; Magnoliopsida; Alismatales; Zosteraceae
Description: long non-coding RNA (ZMAR_LNC003412)
Source: RNAcentral
CUACAGUUCUUUGAUCUAGGUCUGAUCUUCUUCCCUCUACUGGUGGAUUUCAGUCUAUCGGAUUCAGUUCCUUCACAGUCUUUUCCAGCCUAUAGAUCUGGACUUCUUCAGAUCCCCAUCACCAUCUCUAGUGGUGACAUCAGGAGGGAGAGAAACCCUAGUAUUCCGGCCUUGCGUCAUCAGUUGCUUCUCGACGGUUGUUCAGCUUGUGCAGAUGACACAUUGACGCUCCCAUCUGCCAUUGAGGUAAAUUCACGAACUUGAAAGCACCAAAUAUAGCACGUUGGGCGCUAGCUCCGGCUAUCGUCGAAGAGUUGUAACUACUUAAAAUAAAGACAAAAAAAUAAAACAAUUUUUUCAUGGUUUCCUUAAUAAAAAUUGAUACAUAUUUAUAGAGAUUAGGCAAUGUUAAUUGUCGAUCAUAACUGCUAUUUAGUUACUUUAGGUAAUGUUAACUGCCAAUCAUAACUGCUAUUUAGUUACUUAAUAACCAACAGGGUUAUAUACUUAACAAACACAAACUUAGGGAGAUAUUUUUAAUUUGAUAAUAUAUAUUUAAUUAUAUAAGGAUUCUUCAAUAUUGUUUCUCGUGGAUGUCCGAUCAUAUCUUGCAGUAGUCAGACAUCAUCGUGGGUGAUCGCGAACUCGCUUCGCCGGUAGCUCAUCUUUGUCGUCGUCCUUAUCAUAAGAUGAGAUCGUUAAUUUAGACUAAUAUCACCAAAUAAUCACACUUAACAAAAGAGAACAUUUAUAAGUGAAUAGAACUAUAGAAGAUAAGAUAACUGAAAAUGCAGAGAAAUCAAAUAUCUUCAGGUAACUGCAAUAAUAAAGAAGUCAUCCUUGUAUAAAUAAGAUUUAUCCAAGAUAGUUGCCAAUGUAAAUAUUUGGGCCUACCUUUAGCAGCCAUUGCCACUAAAAGUACUGUGAUGAUAUGGUGAAAGGGUUGAAAGUUAAGUGUGCAAAUUGAAAUACCAAAUGUCUGACGUCGUAUGUUAGAAAAUUGCAGUUGUUGAAGUAUGGAAAGCUCAUAUUUUGGGUAAUGUCGUGCAAACUCUCUAGUAGGAUAAUUGAACUCAUUCAAAGAAUUACUUACAGAUUUCUAUGGGCCAAUGUGCUAGGCCACUCACUGAAGGUGGAAUCAGACUAGAGACGAAUUGAGGAAUAUUGCGAAUUAUCCAAAGUUCAAAGAUUUGGAGAAUAAUGACAAAAUACAAAUCCAUUUGGUCAAAAUAGAUAAAGAAGAGAUAUUUGGCAACUACGAGUUGGGAUAUGCGGUUGAGGGAAAUUCUGAGGAUUGAUCAUAAUUCAGUAUGGUAGUGAAGGUAAGGCUGUAAAUGGUAUACCGGAAUCCGUAUUCGAAUUCGAAUAUGACUAUCCGGAUUCGAAUUCAGAUACCUGAAUUGAAAUCCGGAUUUUAUUCGGUUAGAUUCGGAUAUCUGAAAAAUCCGCCGUUAAAAUUCAAAUUCGUUUAAAAAUUUCGGAUUCGGAUAUCCAGAUAAAUAUAUAAUAAAUUAAUAUUAUUAUAUUUAUAUUACUAAUCAUUAAACAUUUAAAGUCUUAACCCUAAUUAUCUUUAUAAUUAUAAAUCUUUAUAACUUAUUAACUUAUAAUUAUUAAAUCAUAACCCUAAACCUAAAGUUAUCCGGAUUCGGAUUAUCCAAAAAUCCGGAUAAUUUAUUCGGAUUAUUCGGAUAUCCGAAUCAUUAUUCGUAUCCGAAUUUUAUUCGGUCGGAUUCAGAUAUCCGAAUAAUUAUUUGGAUUCAGAUACCUGUAUAUCUGAUCUGAAUCCGACCGAUAUACAUGCUUUAGUGAAGGGAUCUCAAACCAUCUUUUGCUUUGGCUUGGAAAAAAAUAAGUCAGACCUGAUAAAUAUGUAGAUUGUUUAUGGGCUCAUGGAAUGAAUAAAUUUUCCUUGUGUGGAGGGAGAAUUAGGUGGAACAAGCUACCAACUAAAGUUCAUGUAAAUGAAAGAGACUUAGUAUUGACAAAAUGUGCAUCCUUUUUAACAGCGCAGAUGAAGAUCAUGAGCAUUUGUUUUUUGGAUGUUUGUAUUUAAAACACAUAUGGAGCGAUUGUGUUGAGAGAAUGGAAAACAUGAUCCCAACAAAUAUUCAUAAUUUCUUAGGAGUAUUUCGACUCGUUGAAUCUGUGUUUACAACACAUAAUGCAUAUUAGACAAUGCAUUAGCUAAUAUUGUUCCAGAUUGCAACAUGGCAUAUCUGGAAAGAAAGAUGUAACAAGAUACAUGUUGGGAAGAAGAAUUAUUGGUCCAUUAUCAAGGACAAGACCCAAAGUGAUACCAAAGUGAUGUUCAACCCUAGUAAAUUUAAAGCUAAGCUGAGUUAUGGGGAUGCUUUAUCACUUAUCCCUUGGCAGGACAACCUCAGUAUCACCUAGGAAAAUAGUAAUAAUACGUAUGAUAUGUAUAAUACUAGUACAAAAGUAUAGUUAUAUAAUGAUAAACUAUUUCGUAUCAGUUUUUCUAUUAUAUGAAAAAUUUAUUGUUGCCAAAAAAAGAUAUGGCUGAAGUGAUUAAGAUGAAAUGAGUGUGCGUGAACAAGUAUGAAAAGAGGAGUACAAACAGUUAUGAUCAGUGAGGGAGAGCGACGAGAGUUGGCGAUUGAAAACGAGGGUUUACCAAUUUUUUGAUUAAAUGUAAGAAUUUUUUUUGAAAGCAAAAAAAAAAGUAAGGAUUGAUUAUGAACAAAAAAAGAAUAUUUCUGUAUGUUUUGAUUUUUUUUUUGAAAUAAUUAAAUUUCAUUAAAAUAAGACUAAUGUCAAGUUUACAAAAAAAUAGAGUAUAAAAAUAAAAACAGAAGUAAAAAAAAAAUAAGCAAAAAGUUCAUUGACUUUUUCCCAUUAACUAGAUACGCUGCCUCCAAAGGGUGACAAUAAUUUUUUUUGUAAUACACUGAAUCAAAGGAAAGACUGAUGUCUUUAAUGAGAUGAAUAUUACUCAUAGUAAUGUGUACAAGAAGAUACCUUUUUGUAUUUUCAUGAUAAAAUGAUGUCCUUGAGGGCAUCUUUGACAUAUGCAUACUUGUACGAAAACCCUAAUUCUUUAGCUUUCAAUGGAAACACCUUUUGUCCUUGCAAAACCUGCCACAGAGAUUGGAUUUACUAAUUUGCUAAGGUGAUGCGGUUUAAUUUAUAGUGCUACCUACUGUCGAUUAAUACAAUAUAAAAAAUGAUAAUGAUUGAACUCACAAUGGUGGCACCCUCACCCAAAACUGCUUUGAGUGCAAAUUCAGGAACAGGCAACCAAGAUGGCCGUCCCAUAACUUCUCCUAAAUGAUCACACAUCUCGGAAAAUCGAACAGGAUUGGGUGCAGUUCCAUUUAUUACUCCUGAAAUUAUAUUUGCAGAUGAUCAUGCUAGAAUGGAAGGUUGGCUUUCUUGAAAUGUUAUUAUGUACCAAACCCCAUGGAUGCCAAAUAUUGGUAGCAAUUAGAUGAUAAAAUCCAUGCGAAAAUAUGACAGAAUUUUAAGUAGAGUGAGUAAAUUGUAAUUCACAGCAAUUUGGCAAAAUCAUAUGUGACCCGGUGAAAGUAGGGUUUUUCUGUGUUUUUAGACAGAGUUGAAUGGUCAGUUAGAGGGGUGCAUUUUGUAUAAUGAUUGUCUUCAUGGUUAUAUACUAAUGACAUUGCUGUAUCAACUUUUUGUGAUCAACUUCUGUUUUUUAAUAAAAAAAUUAUCAUUUUAAAAAAAAAUAUUUUUUUUUGAAGCAAUUAAAUUUCAUUAAAAAAAAGGCCAAUGCUCAGUUUACAUAGAGUAUAGAAAUAACAAACAAAAGUAAAAGAAAUGAGCAAGAAGCUCAUUGACUCUCUCCCAUUAGUAAAAAAACAUUCAUAAAUCAUUUAAAAAAUAAAUUGUAUUUAUUAGUAAUAAUAAAUAAGGCUAUUUGUUUUCAUUUGUUUGUAAUUACAUUUUAGCCCUUAUCAUACUAAUUGUAAUUAGUUAGUGUAGAUUAGAUCUGAACUGAAUUCAGUUAAGAUCUAAUCUUAAACUCAAGUGUAUAUAAACACAUCUAAUAUAUGUUUAGAGGGGUCGAUCACUUGAUUCCCCCAUUUCCUAACUUUCCAGUUUGACUUAUAUGGUACCAGUCGCCUGUUAAGAUCUUGGGAGAAUUUUCUGUUGAGAUCGAUUGAGUAUUAUUCUCUGUUUUGUUCAUUCAGCAUUGGAGUUUCCACAUCCAAUCAUGGCGAUGAACGGAGAAUUGGAUGAGACGACGCAAAUUCUUGGUGAUGAUCAUCAAACGAAGGUCAUUAUGAUCAAGAAUUUGAAGACCGUUUCUCUGGACUGCAGCAACUAUUUUGCUUGGCGGAUAUAAUUUUCAGCACACCUAGCGAGAAAUGAGCUAGAUCACUAUCUCACUGGGAAAGUAGUGCUCAAUUCUGCAGUGACGAUCAGGCAAGAUAAAUUAAUUCUAGCAUGGAUGGUGUCAUCGCUGUCCGCACCAAUUCUAUCGGUGGUAGCAAAUUGUGCAACUGCACAUGAGGCUUGGAAGAGGUUACAGAUGGAGUUUGCAUCCAGCUCAAGGUCAAGAGUCGUAAGCAUACGCCAAAAGCUCCAAAGUUUGAAAAUUAGAGGAAGAUUUAUAACAGAAUAUUUGCAGGAAAUUGAUGGAUUGUUAGAAAUUUUAGCUGUGGCAGGGGAGGAGAUUACAAAUGCUGAUGUGAUUUUACUAGUGUUGGUAGGGCUUGGAGAUGAAUAUGAGGCCAUAAUUCAGAAUGUGAUCACAAGGAGGGAUGAGUUCUCGUAUACAGAGGUAAAAGCAAUUCUAACUGAUGUUGAAAUAAGGAGAGGAAGAACUAAUGCAAAUUCUGCCCUCAGCGUGAACAUUGUUGAAGUUGAAAACCCUAAGAAGACAAGUAAGAGUUUUUACAAAACAAUACCUUGUCAAAUUUGUUCAAGGAAAGGGCAUGGAACACUCAAUUGCUACAAUAGAUUGAACAUCACUAAUUUUCCUCCAACACAUGGGAGAAAACUUAAUUCAGAUGGUCUGACCAGCAAGAUGUCAGCCAAUAUGGUACAAAAAUCAUCAUCAGUUUGGUACCCUAAGGCAGGUAUGAUUGAAGAAAUGUCUGUGAAUGUUAUGUAUGAGAACUGUGAAAAUACAAGGCAAGAGAUCAUUGAGAAUUCAGUGAAUAUGGUGUCAAAUGCAAGAUCUUGGUUUGCUGAUUCUGGCUCAACAAACCAUAUUACAGAUAGAAAGGUAGAUAUUCAAGAUGGGCUGGAUUGUGAGAAUUCCAUCAAUACUGCCAAUGGACAUCCUAUGAGGAUUGUUCACUCUGGUAAAUUUUUUUUUCUGUCAAUAAAAUAAAUUUUUUUAUGAACUAGAUUUUAUGUGUACCUUCUGCAUCAAAGAAUUUGAUUUCAGUGAAGAGAUUCUGUGCUGACAAUCUAGUAACUAUGGAAUUUGAUCCACAGAGGCUGUUUGUCAAGGAUAUCAACACUAGAGAAGUUUUGAUGAUUGGGAAGGAAAGUGGAGGAUUAUAUCAAUUACCUAUACCUAUAGGGGAUUCAGGGAUGCAAGUUAAUCAAAUGGAGUUGGGGAUGCAGGCCACUGCUAGAGUGUGGCACUUGAGAUUGGGGCAUCUACACUCGAGGACUAUGAAGCAACUCAACAAACAGAAUUUAAUUCGAGUUUCAGAUACAAACAAGGUUCCGCCACCUGGAGGAUCUGAGCAUAUGCGUUCAGAUGCGCCAGUGGCAUUUUCGUAAAUAUUUAUAAAAUUAUAGGAAAUUAAUAUUUUUUUAUAUAUCUAAAUAAUAUUAAUUAAAUUUUUUAGUUAAAAAUAUAUUGGAUAGAAAAAUUAUUAUAAUACAUAUAUUUAUUAAUUAUUAUAACACCCUAUAAUUCAUUGUAACACCAAGGUUUAAAAAUCGGUUAACCAUUUAGGGGUAUUUUCGUAAUAAUAUAGCUCUAUAAAUGGCUAGGGUUUCUUUAAACUUAUAAAAGAGAGGCUUUUAUAAAAAGAAAAUAAUAAAUAACCCAAGAGGCUUUUAAAAAAUAAUAACGUAAUGGGUUGGGCUGGGCCUUCUUUAAUACAUCUACAACAUAAAAAAUACUCUAUAAUAAUAAUUUAUUUAACCACACUUUUUUAGUCCUACAUCGAUAGAAUUUAAAAAACACAAAGAAGGUUGGUCUAUAAAUAAAGAUUCAUUUUGUCUAAAACAAAUAUUAAAAAUAAUAUAGCUCUAUCGAUGUAUAUUAAAAACACAAAGAGUGGGAGGAGCUUAUAUUAAAAAUAAUAUAGCACUUUUCAUGGACCAAUGUAUAAAUUUUUAUGUUAAAAAUUUAUAAGGUCUUAAAAUAAAAUUUUUUUUGGCCUUUUUUUUAAAAUAAAAACAAAAAACUUAAAACAGGUCUGGAUCCGAGUCGGAUUUUACCCGGAUCCGGCUAAGGGAGAUGCGCCUGGCGCAUCUCCCUCUGGGGGCGCAUCAUCGCAUAUGCGCGCGCACCCAGAACCUUGGAUACAAAUGAUAUCCAAAAUUUAUGUAAGGAAUGUUGUGUUGCAAAAGCUAAGAAAUUGAAACAUAAUAAAAGUACCUAAUUUUAUACUACACUUGAACUUAUUUUUGUUGAUGUGUGAGGUCCUGCCCCAACUGAAUCCACAGAAGGAUAUAGGUAUUAUGUAAAUUUUGUGGAUGCUUCAACUAGUUACAAUUGGGUUUUCUUGAUGAGAAGAAAAUAUGAAGAUGAAGAAUAUUUUGUACAAUUCAAAUGCAUGGCUGAAAAACAAUAUGACAGGAAUAUAAAAGCUCUCCAAACUGAUAAUGCUAAAGAAUUUUUAAAACUGUCAAAAUUGUUAAGGAGUAAUGGAAUAAUACAUCGUCUUAGCUGUCCACACACUCAUCCUCAGAUGGGGAAGGUAGAGCGCAGACACAAACAUAUAGUAGACACAGGGCUGGCUAGUUGAAGCAUGCAGGGUUGGAAACACACUUCUGGGACUAUGCAUUCAUGGCAUCUGUCUAUCUAUAUAACAGGAACCCCACUGAAAUAUUGAAAGGUAUAUCACCUUAUCAAGCUUUACACCUCAAGUCCCCUGAUUAUUAUAAGUUGAAAAUAUUCGAGCAGUGUGUUAUCCCAAUCUCAGACCAUAUAGGGAAAACAAAUUGAGUGACAAAUCAGCACCUUAUGUUUUUCCAGGAUAUCCAGUCAAUUGUGAUGGAUACAUAUGCAUGGAUAUGAGGGAUGGGAAGACACUAAUUUCCAGAGAUGUGAUCUUUGAAGAAAAUAAAUUUCAGUCAAAGAAAACAGUUAUUUCUCAAUCUCCAACGCAAUCAGUACAGGCAGAGGAGAGUAAAUUAGAUGAGGCUGAACAGAGCAGAAUAAAUGACAAUUCAGAACAAGCAGUGAUAGAUAUUUCAAAACAUGCAGUGGCUUCUCAAUCUACUACACAGUCUGAACUUCCUAUCAUUUCUACUACAGAUGAGUUACCACUUAUCCAGUAUAGUAGAAGAGCACCUGUUGCAAUGGAAAAUGAUGAGGAUGAAGGGUCUGAUGACUCUGGAUCGAACUCUGAAGAAGAGUAUAAUCCAAAAAUAGCAGAAAAUCCAGUAACAAAACACAUACCUGUCAUUAGAGCAUCGAGGGGAAUUGUCAAGAAAGUUCAGAGAUAUGCUUGCAAUAUAUCUCCCACACCAAAACAAACCCCUAAGUCAGUGAAGUAUGUCUUGCAAGACCCUGAAUGGAAGAAGGCAAUGCAGGAGGAAUACAAUGCUCUUGUAAGGAAUGGGACUUGGGAACUCAUCCCAAGGAAUCCAGUGGAUAAUAUAAUCAAUAAUAUAUGGCUGUUCAAAGUGAAAGAAAGGUCAGAUGGGACAGUAGAGAGGUUGAAGGCAAGAUUAGUGGCCAAUGGCACCAAUCAAGUAGGACUGGUCACUGGAUUAUACUGAGACAUUCAGCCUUGUUUUCAAGCACAAAACAAUCAGAAUAGUGCUUACAUCUGGAGAGGAAGUCAUCUACAUAUUUGUAUAUGUAGAUGACAUGGUCAUUACAGGCUCGAGUGCUAAAGGCAUAGAAAUAUUUUUGAAUGAAUUAAAAUCUGAAUUUGCUGUGAGAUUGUGUGGAAACUUGGAGUAUUUUCUGGGAAUCAGAGUUAGGAAGCACUCUGAUGGUUUAUUCUUAGACCAACAGUUAUACUUGGUGAAUCUUCUUAAUAAGCAUGUGUAUGAAAACCUAAAACCCAUUGCUACACCUAUGCAACCUAAUACUGAUUUUUACUCUUGAGGCAGAAUAAAUUCAGAAUUCUACUGAAUAUAGGCAGUUGGUGGGUUCACUGCAGUAUCUCACUACCACAAGGCCAGAUAUUGCUUAUGCAGUAAACAAGUUAGCUCAGUUCAUGAAGAAACCCAAAGAAAUACAUUGGCAGAUGUAAAAAAGAAUUCUGAGAUACUUAUCUGGUACACACAAUAUGGGGAUUGUGUUCAGAAAAACUUGUUCCAAUGAGAUUAUAGCAUACAGUGAUGCAGAUUGGGCAUCUGAUUCAACUGACAGAAAAGCCAGACUGGGUAUCUCUUAUAUAUGGGUGAAUAACUGAUAGUUUGGUGUUCACAAAAAUAAUCUACAGUGUCUAGGUCCAGCACUGAGUCAGAAUUCAGGGCAAUCACAGCUGCCACGACAGAAGUUGAAUGGGUAUCUAAUUUGCUGAUAGAGAUGGUGUGACAACUUGGGAGCAACUCAACUGGCUACAAACCCCGUGUUCCACACUAAAAUCAAGCAUGCUGCAAUUGAUUUCAAUUUUGUACGGGAGAGGAUGGAGAAGAAGGCUAUUCAAGUUAUUCAUAUUCCAAAUACCAUGCAACGAGUUGAUACACUAACCAAGGCAUUAAAGCUAGCAUCAUUCAUGGAGCUAAGAACCAACCUCAUCAGUUACCACAAAUGAGCUUGAGGGGGACUAUUAGUAAUAAUAAAUAAGGCUAUUUGUUUGUAAUUACAUUUUAGCCCUUAUAAUACUAAUUGUAAUUAGUUAUUGUAGAUUAGAUCUAAACUGAAUUCAGUUAAGAUCUAAUCUUAAACUCAAGUGUAUAUAAACACAUCUAAUAUAUAUUUAGAAGGGUCGAUCACUUGAUUCCCCCAUUUCCUAACUUUCCAGUUUCACUCAUAGUAUAUGAAAUCAUUUUUCAAAAAAAUUACUUACCUUGGUAGGAAGGAUUUGCGAUGGAUUCACAUAUUAAAUUCACUAAAUCAUCCAAGUGAAUCCAAGAAAACCUGCAACGAUUGAUGUUUUUAAAAAAUUUGUCAAAUUGUCGUCAGUCUUUUUCUAAUAAAACAAUUUAAUUUUUCUCUUAUUAUUUUUUUAAAAAAUACUAGAGAAAAAGUUUAAGGUAAAGUAAUGUCUAAAUGAGUACCAUUGCUUUCCACUACCUAUAGGACCACCAGCAAACAUCAUAAAAAGUGGGAUCAUUUUUGCUGAAACAUUUCAAAUGAAAAAAAUGAAAGAAUUGACACAAAAUACAUUGAUAAAGAAAAUUUGGAGCUUAUGAGAUUUAAAUCAAUAAGAUUAAACAAAAAAAGAAUAAAAAUUAUGAUUCUGACUUCUGAUCUUUUAAAUAGGACUACUUAAGCAUUAAGACGCUAGAGAAAAACUAUUUCAUAAGUCACAUGCUGACAAUGCAGCCAUGUGAAACAAAAUGAUAAAUAAACAGAGAUGGAAAUAAACACACCUAAAGCACCUCCAUCUUUGCCAAGAACAACACCAAUGCGAAUAAGAACAACCUUGACAUCCUUAUCAACUUUCAAAGCACAUGAUUCCCAUUCUUUACAAACCUGAAUGUUUUGACAACUUUGACAUGCUGAAUAAAUACAUUAAAAUGUGUCGACGUUUCUAAAUAAAAAAUAAGUUAACUGGGAACAUGAGUCACAAACUCAUAGUGAAUGCUAAGGUUACACCACUGAAACUCAGUGAAGUGACUACAUAAACCUAAAUCACAUAGAGAUAUUUUAUAUUUUUAUCAAUUACAUAUACACAUGCAUCUAAAUAAAAUAUUGAUUUUCUCCCUCUAGGUCAUAUUUCCUUUGAAUUUACAAUGGUUGAAGAAAAUCCUGGCAUAAUUGAUUAUCCAGGCAAAUACUUCUCUUCAGUCCAUUCCGUUCAUUUCAAUCUGUAAUAUCUUUCCCUCUACAUAUAUAAAUUUCAAGAUAUAAACCCCACCAUGAAUUGUGUGGAGAGAACAAAAAGUGAUUAGCUUAACUAGUGACAAAAGCUCUUUAGGUUAUUAAGGUCUAGAAUUCAAAAAUCCCAUUGUAUACUUAUCCACUUCAAAUUUGCCUAAUGGUACAUUAAGUAGCUUUGAUCUAUCACUCAGACAUAGACCCUUAUAUUCCUUGUAGCAAGGUAUCCUCUGUUAUAAAAAAGAGUUGUAUUGAGAGAAUUCCCCACCUUCAAGAAAAGAAACUCCACCUUGAGAUACGACUGACACAAAUAUUCUUGGAAUAACUAUGGGAAAAUAAAUAGAUGAUUUCUUUGUUCCUGCUUUAAUUCAAUAUAAAUGACAGGGGAUCAAAAAUCUCCAAAUACUUUGUCAGUAGCAUUUAUUCUUCCUCCACCUUAGUAGCCAACGCAAAAACUUUCCCAUCCUACAGAACAUCAAGAUAUGUGUAGAUUAAUUUUACUUCUAGUUCUGGAAUGAGUUCUCUAUUUCCUCCAUUGGCCAGUAUCAAACUGCCAGACAUAUACCAGUAUACCAGCUCAAGUAAUCGAGAAAAGCAACUUUGAUUUCCUUGGAGAUGGAUUCUAUGUUGAAACUCCAAGUAACUAAAUAGUUCAUUCCUGUUCUGAUUUCCUCUCAUCAUGGCAAUCAACCCACAACCAAUAGAAACAAUCUCCGGUGAGCAGGAAUCGUUCAGUUGUCCUCUAAUGGGGAUCUCUGGGAUACUAAAAAUUUAAAAUAUUAUGUUUUCCAUUCAAUGACUUUGAUAUGAUUUCCUAAAAUAAACAAAUCCUUAAAUACUAAGACUACAAAAAUAUGUGUGUGAUUAUAUUAUAACAGUUAACCAUAUCAUCAUUAUUAUGGCAUUUCUUACCUCUGCCAAAAAGUCAUUUCCUGGAGGGCUUUGCUCAUCAAAAGAUUGUGUUUCGCUAGUGCCUGAUAACAUGAAUGCAAGCAACUAUCUCUAUUACAGAAAGAGAUGAAAAAUAUAGCUAGAUUUCAGAUUAAACUUUAAAAUAAUGAUAUUUUCCUUUAUUAUGCAGAAAAAUGCUCUUCAUUUAUAAAUAAUUAGGAUACAAUAAUGAUUAUUAAAAAGAUUCAAGUGGAAAGGGUCGA